Cynoglossus semilaevis (tongue sole) is the source of this 1138-nucleotide RNA transcript. It is a transcript of the gene named survival of motor neuron 1, telomeric, with no coding region annotated. The record is from RefSeq and is a predicted model, not a curated record. Lineage: Eukaryota; Metazoa; Chordata; Actinopteri; Pleuronectiformes; Cynoglossidae. The transcript is spliced from 7 exons.
ACUAAAAACUCCGUCGCAAGCUAUUUACGUCACUACCGCCUCAAACCUCUUGAGCCUCGACGCACGUUGUACCUUCGUUGUUAGCUGUUAGUAUUUAGCAGUUGUUUUCUCAUGGCGAAUGACUAUAACAACGCGUUAUUUACUCGUGGAGCUAACCAGAGUGAUGAUUCUGACAUUUGGGAUGACACAGCACUGAUAAAGGCCUAUGACAAGGCAGUAGCAUCAUUCAAGACUGCACUUAAAGGAGAUGAAGUUCCACAGCCUUCAAAGAAAGAGCAACCCAAAAAAAAACGCAAAAGCAACAAAAAGAACCAAAGCAGAAAGAAAAACAGUGCACCAACAGAUGGACAGUGGCAGGUUGGCGACUCGUGCUGUGCUUAUUGGGCACAGGAUGGCCAACUCUACCCAGCAACAAUCUCCUCUAUAGACAAACUGAGAGGCACCUGUUUGGUGGUUUAUAAAGACUAUGGGAAUGAGGAGGAGCAGAAACUUGGAGACCUCCUCCAAAGACUUUCUGAAGGAGAGGAAGAAACAAAUGUUCAGGUAAAUGAAGCAGAGUCAUCCACAGAAGAGAGUGAGGCAUCGUCUACAGUCAACCACCACAAACAGCAGCCUCGCAGUAAAGCUCAGAAAUCCAGGGCUCAAAAGGAGGAUCCAUUUACUUUUCCUCUACAGCCACCUCCUCCGAUGUGGGGUUCUGGGUUCUCGGGGUCCUUUCCAGGCCCACCACCCAUGUAUGGCAUGAAACAGAAAGGAAGCAGACAUUCUGCUGCACAUGGCCCCGUUCCUCCGUGGCCUCCCAUGAUGAAUUUCGGUCCACCAGUGGGUUGGAAAUACAUCUUGUAUACACUCUUUGAUACUAUAACAGAUUGUCUCUGGCCCUGUGUGUUUUUGCGUCAUUCUGCUGCUGAGAUGAAAAACAAACUGUUCAUGUGUGUGUUUGCCAUUUGUCAUCUCCCAUCAUUUACAUUCUCAUCACACUCCCUCAGAUGAUUCCUCCUCCUCCUCCACCAAUGAACCCUGAUGUGGGGGAUGACGAGGCCUUGGGCAGCAUGCUCAUCUCCUGGUACAUGAGUGGAUAUCACACAGGAUAUUACCUGGGGUUGAAACAAGCUCGCAAAGACACUGACAACUGAAC